ACUCCUACGGGAGGCAGCAGUGGGGAAUAUUGCACAAUGGGCAGCAAGCCUGAUGCAGCCAUGCCGCGUGUAUGAAGAAGGCCUUCGGGUUGAUAAAGUACUUUCAGCAGGUGAGGAGGUGGGUAUGUUAAUAGCAUACUUCAUUUGACGUUAGCUGCAGAAGAAGCACCGGCUAACUCCGUGCCAGCAGCCGCGGUAAUACGGAGGGUGCGAGCGUUAAUCGGAAUUACUGGGCGUAAAGCGCAUGCAGGUGGUUUGUUAAGUCAGAUGUGAAAGCCCGGGGCUCAACCUCGGAAUUGCAUUUGAAACUGGCAAAGCUAGAGUACUGUAGAGGGGGGUAGAAUUUCAGGUGUAGCGGUGAAAUGCGUAGAGAUCUGAAGG
This 381-nucleotide ribosomal RNA is filed under the name uncultured bacterium. RNAcentral's name for it is "bacterial SSU rRNA". It matches the Rfam family "Bacterial small subunit ribosomal RNA", at positions 335 to 704 of the family's 1533-position model. The record is from RNAcentral.